AUUGAGCGCUGGCGGCAUGCUUUACACAUGCAAGUCGAACGGCAGCACGGACUUCGGUCUGGUGGCGAGUGGCGAACGGGUGAGUAAUACAUCGGAACGUACCCAGUAAUGGGGGAUAACUAUCCGAAAGGAUAGCUAAUACCGCAUACGCCCUACGGGGGAAAGAGGGGGAUCGCAAGACCUCUUGUUAUUGGAGCGGCCGAUGGCUGAUUAGCUAGUUGGUAGGGUAAAGGCUUACCAAGGCAACGAUCAGUAGCGGGUCUUAGAGGACGAUCCGCCACACUGGAACUGAGACACGGUCCAGACUCCUACGGGAGGCAGCAGUGGGGAAUCUUGGACAAUGGGCGCAAGCCUGAUCCAGCAAUGCCGCGUGCGUGAAGAAGGCCUUCGGGUUGUAAAGCGCUUUUGUCAGGGAGCAAAUCCUUGUGGCUAAUACCCACCGGGGAUGAGAGUACCUGAAGAAUAAGGACCGGCUAACUACGUGCCAGCAGCCGCGGUAA
Molecule: ribosomal RNA, 500 nt
Filed under: uncultured bacterium
Lineage: Bacteria
Description: partial 16S ribosomal RNA
Rfam family: Bacterial small subunit ribosomal RNA
Source: RNAcentral